UACGUAGGCCGCAAGCGUUGUUCGGAGUUACUGGGCGUAAAGGGUGUGUAGGCGGUUGCCUAAGUUUGGUGUGAAAUCUCCCGGCUCAACUGGGAGGGUGCGCCGAAAACUGGGUGACUCGAGUGCGGGAGAGGAGAGUGGAAUUCCUGGUGUAGCGGUGAAAUGCGUAGAUAUCAGGAGGAACACCUGUGGUGUAGACGGCUCUCUGGACCGUAACUGACGCUGAGACACGAAAGCGUGGGUAGCAAACAGG
This 253-nucleotide ribosomal RNA is filed under the name uncultured bacterium. Its description in RNAcentral is "partial 16S ribosomal RNA". It matches the Rfam family "Bacterial small subunit ribosomal RNA", at positions 524 to 776 of the family's 1533-position model. The record is from RNAcentral.